CCUACGGGUGGCUGCAGUCUAGAGGCUUCGGCAAUGGGCGAAAGCCUGACCGAGCGACGCCGCGUGCAGGAUGAAGGCCUUCGGGUCGUAAACUGCUUUCGGCCGGGAGCAACGCAUGGGUGGCGAACCUGUGCUUGAGCGACCGGCGGAAGAAGCCACGGCUAACUCUGUGCCAGCAGCCGCGGUAAUACAGAGGUGGCGAGCGUUAUUCGGAUUUAUUGGGCGUAAAGGGCGUGUAGGCGGCUCUGCACGUCGGGUGUGAAAGCGCUACCGCU
This 275-nucleotide ribosomal RNA is filed under the name uncultured bacterium. RNAcentral's name for it is "partial 16S ribosomal RNA". It matches the Rfam family "Bacterial small subunit ribosomal RNA", at positions 338 to 609 of the family's 1533-position model. The record is from RNAcentral.